GCCAUGGGCAGGUUGAAGGUUGGGUAACACUAACUGGAGGACCGAACCGACUAAUGUUGAAAAAUUAGCGGAUGACCUGUGGCUGGGGGUGAAAGGCCAAUCAAACCGGGAGAUAGCUGGUUCUCCCCGAAAGCUAUUUAGGUAGCGCCUCGUGAAUUCAUCUCCGGGGGUAGAGCACUGUUUCGGCUAGGGGGCCAUCCCGGCUUACCAACCCGAUGCAAACUGCGAAUACCGGAGAAUGUUAUCACGGGAGACACACGGCGGGUGCUAACGUCCGUCGUGAAGAGGGAAACAACCCAGACCGCCAGCUAAGGUCCCAAAGUCAUGGUUAAGUGGGAAACGAUGUGGGAAGGCCCAGACAGCCAGGAUGUUGGCUUAGAAGCAGCCAUCAUUUAAAGAAAGCGUAAUAGCUCACUGGUCGAGUCGGCCUGCGCGGAAGAUGUAACGGGGCUAAACCAU
RNAcentral lists this ribosomal RNA (459 nucleotides) under Salmonella enterica. RNAcentral's name for it is "partial 23S ribosomal RNA". It matches the Rfam family "Bacterial large subunit ribosomal RNA", at positions 733 to 1190 of the family's 2925-position model. Lineage: Bacteria; Pseudomonadati; Pseudomonadota; Gammaproteobacteria; Enterobacterales; Enterobacteriaceae. The record is from RNAcentral.